AUUGAACGCUGGCGGCAGGCCUAACACAUGCAAGUCGAGCGGCAGCGGGAAAGUAGCUUGCUACUUUUGCCGGCGAGCGGCGGACGGGUGAGUAAUGCCUGGGAAAUUGCCCAGUCGAGGGGGAUAACAGUUGGAAACGACUGCUAAUACCGCAUACGCCCUACGGGGGAAAGCAGGGGACCUUCGGGCCUUGCGCGAUUGGAUAUGCCCAGGUGGGAUUAGCUAGUUGGUGAGGUAAUGGCUCACCAAGGCGACGAUCCCUAGCUGGUCUGAGAGAAGGAUCAGCCACACUGGAACUGAGACACGGUCCAGACUCCUACGGGAGGCAGCAGUGGGGAAUAUUGCACAAUGGAGGAAACCCUGAUGCAGCCAUGCCGGGUGUGUGAAGAAGGCCUUCGGGUUGUAAAGCACUUUCAGCGAGGAGGAAAGGUUGAUGCCUAAUACGUAUCAACUGUGACGUUACUCGCAGAAGAAGCACCGGCUAACUCCGUGCCAGCAGCCGCCGUAA
RNAcentral lists this ribosomal RNA (508 nucleotides) under uncultured bacterium. RNAcentral describes it as "partial 16S ribosomal RNA". It matches the Rfam family "Bacterial small subunit ribosomal RNA", at positions 30 to 523 of the family's 1533-position model. The record is from RNAcentral.